ACAGAAUUAGUGCCCACAGUUGUCUGAAUGGCCUGGUAAUGCAUUAGCAUACAGGAGUCCAUCUGAGAGGGACAGAGUGGUCUAGUGGUAAGAGCAGGGGUCUAGGUGUCCUGGGUUCCAUUCUUAACUCUGGGAAUUGACUUGGAUCUAAUGGUUAGAGCAAGGUGCUGUGGGUCAGGAG
Non-coding RNA from Chelonoidis abingdonii (Abingdon island giant tortoise), 181 nucleotides. NCBI's taxonomy places the organism in Eukaryota, Metazoa, Chordata, Testudines, Testudinidae. The record is from RefSeq and is a predicted model, not a curated record.